This 2908-nucleotide ribosomal RNA is filed under the name Serratia marcescens. RNAcentral's name for it is "23S ribosomal RNA". It matches the Rfam family "Bacterial large subunit ribosomal RNA". Lineage: Bacteria; Pseudomonadati; Pseudomonadota; Gammaproteobacteria; Enterobacterales; Yersiniaceae. The record is from RNAcentral. RNAcentral also lists the same sequence under 1 other name.
GGUUAAGUGACUAAGCGUACACGGUGGAUGCCUAGGCAGUCAGAGGCGAUGAAGGGCGUGCUAAUCUGCGAAAAGCGUCGGUAAGGUGAUAUGAACCGUUACAACCGGCGAUACCCGAAUGGGGAAACCCAGUGUGUUUCGACACACUAUCAUGUCAUGAAUACAUAGUGGCAUGAGGCGAACCGGGGGAACUGAAACAUCUAAGUACCCCGAGGAAAAGAAAUCAACCGAGAUUCCCCCAGUAGCGGCGAGCGAACGGGGAGGAGCCCAGAACCUGAAUCGGCUUGUGUGUUAGUGGAAGCGUCUGGAAAGUCGCGCAGUAAAGGGUGAUAGCCCCGUACACUAAAAUGCACAGGUCGUGAGUUCGAUGAGUAGGGCGGGACACGUGACAUCCUGUCUGAAUAUGGGGGGACCAUCCUCCAAGGCUAAAUACUCCUGACUGACCGAUAGUGAACCAGUACCGUGAGGGAAAGGCGAAAAGAACCCCGGCGAGGGGAGUGAAAUAGAACCUGAAACCGUGUACGUACAAGCAGUGGGAGCACCUUCGUGGUGUGACUGCGUACCUUUUGUAUAAUGGGUCAGCGACUUAUAUUUUGUAGCAAGGUUAACCGUAUAGGGGAGCCGUAGGGAAACCGAGUCUUAACUGGGCGAAUAGUUGCAAGGUAUAGACCCGAAACCCGGUGAUCUAGCCAUGGGCAGGUUGAAGGUUGGGUAACACUAACUGGAGGACCGAACCGACUAAUGUUGAAAAAUUAGCGGAUGACUUGUGGCUGGGGGUGAAAGGCCAAUCAAACCGGGAGAUAGCUGGUUCUCCCCGAAAGCUAUUUAGGUAGCGCCUCGUGAACUCAUCUUCGGGGGUAGAGCACUGUUUCGGCUAGGGGGCCAUCCCGGCUUACCAAACCGAUGCAAACUCCGAAUACCGAAGAAUGUUAUCACGGGAGACACACGGCGGGUGCUAACGUCCGUCGUGAAGAGGGAAACAACCCAGACCGCCAGCUAAGGUCCCAAAGUCAUGGUUAAGUGGGAAACGAUGUGGGAAGGCAUAGACAGCCAGGAUGUUGGCUUAGAAGCAGCCAUCAUUUAAAGAAAGCGUAAUAGCUCACUGGUCGAGUCGGCCUGCGCGGAAGAUGUAACGGGGCUAAACCAUGCACCGAAGCUGCGGCAGCGACGCUUAGGCGUUGUUGGGUAGGGGAGCGUUCUGUAAGCCGUUGAAGGUGGCCUGUGAGGGUUGCUGGAGGUAUCAGAAGUGCGAAUGCUGACAUAAGUAACGAUAAAGCGGGUGAAAAGCCCGCUCGCCGGAAGACCAAGGGUUCCUGUCCAACGUUAAUCGGGGCAGGGUGAGUCGACCCCUAAGGCGAGGCUGAAAAGCGUAGUCGAUGGGAAACAGGUUAAUAUUCCUGUACUUGGUGUUACUGCGAAGGGGGGACGGAGAAGGCUAGGCUAGCCGGGCGACGGUUGUCCCGGUUUAAGCGUGUAGGGGGUGUGACCUGGUAAAUCCGGUUGCAUAUCAACCCUGAGGCGUGAUGACGAUGCACUACGGUGCAGAAGUAGUUGAUGCCCUGCUUCCAGGAAAAGCCUCUAAGCUCUAGGUAACAUUGAAUCGUACCCCAAACCGACACAGGUGGUCAGGUAGAGAAUACCAAGGCGCUUGAGAGAACUCGGGUGAAGGAACUAGGCAAAAUGGUGCCGUAACUUCGGGAGAAGGCACGCUGGCAUGUAGGUGAAGUCCCUUGCGGAUGGAGCUGAAGCCAGUCGAAGAUACCAGCUGGCUGCAACUGUUUAAUAAAAACACAGCACUGUGCAAACACGAAAGUGGACGUAUACGGUGUGACGCCUGCCCGGUGCUGGAAGGUUAAUUGAUGGGGUCAGCCGCAAGGCGAAGCUCUUGAUCGAAGCCCCAGUAAACGGCGGCCGUAACUAUAACGGUCCUAAGGUAGCGAAAUUCCUUGUCGGGUAAGUUCCGACCUGCACGAAUGGCGUAAUGAUGGCCAGGCUGUCUCCACCCGAGACUCAGUGAAAUUGAACUCGCUGUGAAGAUGCAGUGUACCCGCGGCAAGACGGAAAGACCCCGUGAACCUUUACUAUAGCUUGACACUGAACAUUGAGCCUUGAUGUGUAGGAUAGGUGGGAGGCUUUGAAGCGUGGACGCCAGUCUGCGUGGAGCCAUCCUUGAAAUACCACCCUUUAAUGUUUGAUGUUCUAACUCGGCCCCAUAAUCUGGGGUGAGGACAGUGUCUGGUGGGUAGUUUGACUGGGGCGGUCUCCUCCCAAAGAGUAACGGAGGAGCACGAAGGUUAGCUAAUCACGGUCGGACAUCGUGAGGUUAGUGCAAAGGCAUAAGCUAGCUUGACUGCGAGAGUGACGGCUCGAGCAGGUACGAAAGUAGGUCUUAGUGAUCCGGUGGUUCUGAAUGGAAGGGCCAUCGCUCAACGGAUAAAAGGUACUCCGGGGAUAACAGGCUGAUACCGCCCAAGAGUUCAUAUCGACGGCGGUGUUUGGCACCUCGAUGUCGGCUCAUCACAUCCUGGGGCUGAAGUAGGUCCCAAGGGUAUGGCUGUUCGCCAUUUAAAGUGGUACGCGAGCUGGGUUUAGAACGUCGUGAGACAGUUCGGUCCCUAUCUGCCGUGGGCGUUGGAAGAUUGAGAGGGGUUGCUCCUAGUACGAGAGGACCGGAGUGAACGCACCACUGGUGUUCGGGUUGUCAUGCCAAUGGCAUUGCCCGGUAGCUAAGUGCGGAAAAGAUAAGCGCUGAAAGCAUCUAAGCGCGAAACUUGCCUCAAGAUGAGUCUUCCCUGGGCCUUUAAGGCCCCUGAAGGAACGUUUAAGACUAAGACGUUGAUAGGCUGGGUGUGUAAGUGCAGCGAUGCAUUGAGCUAACCAGUACUAAUGAUCCGUGAGGCUUAACCUU